This 254-nucleotide ribosomal RNA is filed under the name uncultured bacterium. RNAcentral describes it as "partial 16S ribosomal RNA". It matches the Rfam family "Bacterial small subunit ribosomal RNA", at positions 524 to 776 of the family's 1533-position model. The record is from RNAcentral.
UACGUAGGGGCUAGCGUUGUCCGGAUUUAUUGGGCGUAAAGAGCGUGUAGGCGGCCAGGUAGGUCUGCUGUGAAAACUCGAGGCUCAACCUCGAGAUGUCGGCGGAAACCAUCUGGCUAGAGUCCGGAAGAGGAAAGUGGAAUUCCGUAGGUGUAGCGGUGAAAUGACGCAGAUAUCAGGAAGAACACCCGUGGCGAAGGCGGCUUUCUGGGACGGUACUGACGCUGAGACGCGAAGCGUGGGGAGCGAACAGG